UGUUUGAUGUUCUAACGUUGGCCCGUAAUCCGGGUUGCGGACAGUGUCUGGUGGGUAGUUUGACUGGGGCGGUCUCCUCCUAAAGAGUAACGGAGGAGCACGAAGGUUGGCUAAUCCUGGUCGGACAUCAGGAGGUUAGUGCAAUGGCAUAAGCCAGCUUGACUGCGAGCGUGACGGCGCGAGCAGGUGCGAAAGCAGGUCAUAGUGAUCCGGUGGUUCUGAAUGGAAGGGCCAUCGCUCAACGGAUAAAAGGUACUCCGGGGAUAACAGGCUGAUACCGCCCAAGAGUUCAUAUCGACGGCGGUGUUUGGCACCUCGAUGUCGGCUCAUCACAUCCUGGGGCUGAAGUAGGUCCCAAGGGUAUGGCUGUUCGCCAUUUAAAGUGGUACGCGAGCUGGGUUUAGAACGUCGUGAGACAGUUCGGUCCCUAUCUGCCGUGGGCGCUGGAGAACUGAGGGGGGCUGCUCCUAGUACGAGAGGACCGGAGUGGACGCAUCACUGGUGUUCGGGUUGUCAUGCCAAUGGCACUGCCCGGUAGCUAAAUGCGGAAGAGAUAAGUGCUGAAAGCAUCUAAGCACGAAACUUGCC
Molecule: ribosomal RNA, 588 nt
Filed under: Escherichia coli
Lineage: Bacteria; Pseudomonadati; Pseudomonadota; Gammaproteobacteria; Enterobacterales; Enterobacteriaceae
Description: partial 23S ribosomal RNA
Rfam family: Bacterial large subunit ribosomal RNA
Source: RNAcentral